GGUUGUGUGGUGUCGGCGGCCGGGGUAAUAGAGAGGUGGGAAGGGUUGUUCGGAUUUGUUGGGGGUAAAGGGGAGGUAGGCGGUCAAGCAAGUCUGUGGGGAAAUCCCGGGGCUCAACCCCGGAACUGCAACGGAAACUACUUGGCGGGAGCGAUGUAGGGGUGAGGGGAAUUCUCGGUGUAAGGGUGAAAUCUGUAGAUAUCGAGAGGAACACCAAUGGCGAAGGCACCUCACUGGACAUUUGCUGACGCUGAGCUGCGAAAGUAGGGGGAGCAAACAGGAUUAGAUACCCCUGUAGUC
Molecule: ribosomal RNA, 300 nt
Filed under: uncultured Lactobacillus sp.
Lineage: Bacteria; Bacillati; Bacillota; Bacilli; Lactobacillales; Lactobacillaceae
Description: bacterial SSU rRNA
Rfam family: Bacterial small subunit ribosomal RNA
Source: RNAcentral